GACAGGAGCUUGCUCCUGAAUUCAGCGGCGGACGGGUGAGUAAUGCCUAGGAAUCUGCCUGGUAGUGGGGGACAACGUUUCGAAAGGAACGCUAAUACCGCAUACGUCCUACGGGAGAAAGCAGGGGACCUUCGGGCCUUGCGCUAUCAGAUGAGCCUAGGUCGGAUUAGCUAGUUGGUGAGGUAAUGGCUCACCAAGGCGACGAUCCGUAACUGGUCUGAGAGGAUGAUCAGUCACACUGGAACUGAGACACGGUCCAGACUCCUACGGGAGGCAGCAGUGGGGAAUAUUGGACAAUGGGCGAAAGCCUGAUCCAGCCAUGCCGCGUGUGUGAAGAAGGUCUUCGGAUUGUAAAGCCCUUUAAGUUGGGAGGAAGGGCAGUAACUUAAUACUCUGCAGUUUUGACGUUACGACGAUAUGCGCUCGGCUAACUCUGUUCCCGCAGCCGGGUAUACAGAGGGUGCAAGCGUUAAUCGGAAUUACGGGGCGUAAGCGCGCGUGGUGGUUUGUUAAGUUGGAUUGAAGCCCCGGCUCACCUGGGACUGCAUUAGAACGGCCGGCUAGAAUUUGGUAGAGG
Molecule: ribosomal RNA, 577 nt
Filed under: Pseudomonas sp. R55
Lineage: Bacteria; Pseudomonadati; Pseudomonadota; Gammaproteobacteria; Pseudomonadales; Pseudomonadaceae
Description: bacterial SSU rRNA
Rfam family: Bacterial small subunit ribosomal RNA
Source: RNAcentral